RNAcentral lists this unclassified non-coding RNA (1688 nucleotides) under Hevea brasiliensis (rubber tree). The record is from RNAcentral. Lineage: Eukaryota; Viridiplantae; Streptophyta; Magnoliopsida; Malpighiales; Euphorbiaceae.
AAAAAAAAAAAAAAGGAAAAAAAUGCCCUCAUCAAAGUUAAAGCUUAACAAAUAUAUAUAUAUAAAGAAAAGUGCAAAAGGAAACCUCAAAAAAGGAAAGGUUAGGUUACCUUCUGGCAGGCCUGACUUCAAAAGCUCUUCAACUAAGUGUAUAUUCAAAGCAACUUGAUCAGUUUUUUUACAAGUAAUCUGUAUCUAUCUUCAUAAUUUAAUCUUUCAAGUUACAAUUGACAGCUCCAGAUUAUUGUCCUGCAAGAAUGGCCAAGCCAAACGAAUGCUAGAAAAGCACAGUUCGUAAAGGGCAUCAUCAGUUAAGAUCUUAGAGGUCCAGACCUUGAAUGUCUUCUCCAGUGAUAUUUACAUUAACUUCAUCUCCUUUUUCUUUGUUUUCUUCGGCACUCAAAACAAUCAGCGCACACAGAGUUACUUCUAGGCGAGUGACUGGAAUGGAGUUUGCUGGGUGAUAUUUUCAGGUCUUCCACCAGUACCUGACGAAGCUUCUCAUUCUCCUCCAUAAGCUUUUCAAUGACUUGCUGGUGUUUCAACACCUAGGUGGAAGGGAAAUGUAAUCAUCUAACAAAUUUCAUCCAAGAAAAAUGAAUUGCAGACUUGCAGAAAUGUUCGCACACUUUAACUGCAUUGCAAGUGUUAUUAACACAAAUUCGCAACACAACCACCACGCAACAGUUUAGAAUCUCCCAUGCAUCUCAAAAUAAAUCCAUUCAAACAAAUUUAGCUACUCCAAUUAUGAAUGAUUACAAAAUUGAGUAAUUCAUUGAGAAUCCCAUUUUAAAAAAUUCUUUUAGCUCUUUUAGCCACUAAAUGCUACCAUAGUUUCAUUGAUGAUCCAAAUUUUUUAUGGUAACUACAUCUUGACAAAAUGGCUUCAAGAUAAGCAGAGAAGAUAUGAAAUAUUACCAUUUGAAGCAGGUUGUUUUCAGAACGCAAGCGUCCAGCCUGUAAACAUUUCAUCAAAGAAUUAAACACAAUAUUUAAAAAAUUUCAGAACAUAUAUAAUCUCAGGUACAUGCAAACAAAAGUCUGCAAAAAAAUCUUCACGUUUGACAAUGAAAAUAUGUAAACAAGAGAUUUUGACAAUCCCUGGACACAUUGCUGCCUUCUACAGGCUUAUAGCUGCUGCCAGGAGAACUAUGUGGUUCUUUGCUUUUGUGCACUCAGAAAAAGCAUUGGGGGACAAGCAAAUAAUUUGCUCCAAUUACACAAAUCCUAGCUGAAAAUAUGAAUCAAGCCUAGUGAAGGCAAUCCAUUAAAAAUUAACAAAAGCAGUUGAGUGAUAAAUUAAAAAGGACAGCAGCCAUGGAUGUGUUCUCAGGGAACAACAUCCAAACAUUUGCACAUUACCUAAAGAAAUCCAUCAAUAAACAGACCAAGGGAUAGAUAAAUAUCAUUGUGCAUACCACUUCAUUUAGGUUUUUAUCAUCUUCUUUCAGAAUUGGAUUGUUCAGAAAACCGCUAAUGACCUUUUCCGUUCGACUACCAAAAGGUGUGUCAACUAUACUGCUUGUUGGCGUGGAGUUUUCAUAGCUUGAAUGUGGAAUCAUACUACCAUAUCCAUGCAUGCUUUCAGGUGUUUGGUCAGGAAGUUUUGUUGCCAGUUGUGUGAUACUUCCCAAUGGAUUUUGGAUUGAGGGUCCAUUCACUGUGCUCAAGCCGCUUUGCAUUGACAU